Molecule: ribosomal RNA, 400 nt
Filed under: uncultured Gammaproteobacteria bacterium
Lineage: Bacteria; Pseudomonadati; Pseudomonadota; Gammaproteobacteria
Description: bacterial SSU rRNA
Rfam family: Bacterial small subunit ribosomal RNA
Source: RNAcentral
AACACAUGCAAGUCGAGCGGUAGCACAGAAGAGCUUGCUCUCGGGUGACAAGCGGCGGACGGGUGAGUAACGCGUAGGAAUCUACCUAGUAGUGGGGGACAACAGUUGGAAACGACUGCUAAUACCGCAUACGCCCUAAGGGGGAAAGCGGGGGAUCUUCGGACCUCGUGCUAUUAGAUGAGCCUGCGUGAGAUUAGCUAGUUGGUGAGGUAAGGGCUCACCAAGGCGACGAUCUCUAGCUGGUCUGAGAGGAUGAUCAGCCACACUGGGACUGAGACACGGCCCAGACUCCUACGGGAGGCAGCAGUGGGGAAUAUUGGACAAUGGGCGCAAGCCUGAUCCAGCCAUGCCGCGUGUGUGAAGAAGCCUUCGGGUUGUAAAGCACUUUCAGAAGGGAGGA